GGUUAAGCGACUAAGCGUACACGGUGGAUGCCUAGGCAAUCAGAGGCGAUGAAGGACGUGCUAAUCUGCGAAAAGCGUCGGUAAGGUGAUAUGAACCGUUAUAACCGACGAUGUCCGAAUGGGGAAACCCAGUGCAAUUCGUUGCACUAUCGUUUGAUGAAUCCAUAGUCAAACGAGGCGAACCGGGGGAACUGAAACAUCUCAGUACCCCGAGGAAAAGAAAUCAACCGAGAUUCCCCUAGUAGCGGCGAGCGAACGGGGAGCAGCCCAGAGUCUUAAUCAGCAUCAGCAUCAGGAGAACGGUCUGGAAAGGCCGGCAAUAAAGGGUGAUAGCCCCGUAUCCGAAGGUGUUGGUGUUGUGAACUCGAUGAGUAGGGCGGGACACGUGUUAUCCUGUCUGAAUAUGGGGGGACCAUCCUCCAAGGCUAAAUACUCCUGAUUGACCGAUAGUGAACCAGUACCGUGAGGGAAAGGCGAAAAGAACCCCGGCGAGGGGAGUGAAAUAGAACCUGAAACCGUGUACGUACAAGCAGUGGGAGCCUUGAUUUAUCAGGGUGACUGCGUACCUUUUGUAUAAUGGGUCAGCGACUUAUAUUCUGUAGCAAGGUUAACCGAAUAGGGGAGCCGUAGGGAAACCGAGUCUUAACUGGGCGAAUGAGUUGCAGGGUAUAGACCCGAAACCCGGUGAUCUAGCCAUGGGCAGGUUGAAGGUUGGGUAACACUAACUGGAGGACCGAACCGACUAAUGUUGAAAAAUUAGCGGAUGACUUGUGGCUGGGGGUGAAAGGCCAAUCAAACCGGGAGAUAGCUGGUUCUCCCCGAAAGCUAUUUAGGUAGCGCCUCGUGAACUCAUCUUCGGGGGUAGAGCACUGUUUCGGCUAGGGGGUCAUCCCGACUUACCAACCCGAUGCAAACUACGAAUACCGAAGAAUGUUAUCACGGGAGACACACGGCGGGUGCUAACGUUCGUCGUGAAGAGGGAAACAACCCAGACCGCCAGCUAAGGUCCCAAAGUCAUGGUUAAGUGGGAAACGAAGUGGGAAGGCUCAGACAGCCAGGAUGUUGGCUUAGAAGCAGCCAUCAUUUAAAGAAAGCGUAAUAGCUCACUGGUCGAGUCGGCCUGCGCGGAAGAUGUAACGGGGCUAAACCAUGCACCGAAGCUGCGGCAGCGACAUGUAAAUGUUGUUGGGUAGGGGAGCGUUCUGUAAGCCUGUGAAGGUGUGCUGCGAGGCAUGCUGGAGGUAUCAGAAGUGCGAAUGCUGACAUAAGUAACGAUAAUGCGGGUGAAAAACCCGCACGCCGGAAGACCAAGGGUUCCUGUCCAACGUUAAUCGGGGCAGGGUGAGUCGACCCCUAAGGCGAGGCAGAAAUGCGUAGUCGAUGGGAAACAGGUUAAUAUUCCUGUACUGGUGAUAAUUGCGAUGGGGGGACGGAGAAGGCUAGGCUGGCCGGGCGACGGUUGUCCCGGUUUAAGGAUGUAGGUGGGUGAAUUAGGCAAAUCCGGUUCGCUAUACACUGAGGUCUGAUGACGAGUCACUACGGUGGCGAAGUAGCUCAUGCCCCGCUUCCAGGAAAAGCCUCUAAGCUCUAGAUUAUCAUUAAUCGUACCCCAAACCGACACAGGUGGUCAGGUAGAGAAUACUCAGGCGCUUGAGAGAACUCGGGUGAAGGAACUAGGCAAAAUGGUGCCGUAACUUCGGGAGAAGGCACGCUGGCAUUAGGUGAAGUGGUUUACCCAUGGAGCUGAAGCCAGUCGCAGAUACCAGCUGGCUGCAACUGUUUAUUAAAAACACAGCACUGUGCAAACACGAAAGUGGACGUAUACGGUGUGACGCCUGCCCGGUGCUGGAAGGUUAAUUGAUGGGGUUAUCCGUAAGGAGAAGCUCUUGAUCGAAGCCCCAGUAAACGGCGGCCGUAACUAUAACGGUCCUAAGGUAGCGAAAUUCCUUGUCGGGUAAGUUCCGACCUGCACGAAUGGCGUAAUGAUGGCCAGGCUGUCUCCACCCGAGACUCAGUGAAAUUGAACUCGCUGUGAAGAUGCAGUGUACCCGCGGCAAGACGGAAAGACCCCGUGAACCUUUACUAUAGCUUGACACUGAACAUUGAGCCUUGAUGUGUAGGAUAGGUGGGAGGCUUUGAAGUGUGGACGCCAGUCUGCAUGGAGCCAACCUUGAAAUACCACCCUUUAAUGUUUGAUGUUCUAACGUUGCCCCAUAAUCUGGGGUGCGGACAGUGUCUGGUGGGUAGUUUGACUGGGGCGGUCUCCUCCCAAAGCGUAACGGAGGAGCACGAAGGUUGGCUAAGCAUGGUCGGACAUCAUGCGGUUAGUGCAAAGGCAUAAGCCAGCUUGACUGCGAGAGUGACGGCUCGAGCAGGUACGAAAGUAGGUCUUAGUGAUCCGGUGGUUCUGAAUGGAAGGGCCAUCGCUCAACGGAUAAAAGGUACUCCGGGGAUAACAGGCUGAUACCGCCCAAGAGUUCAUAUCGACGGCGGUGUUUGGCACCUCGAUGUCGGCUCAUCACAUCCUGGGGCUGAAGUAGGUCCCAAGGGUAUGGCUGUUCGCCAUUUAAAGUGGUACGCGAGCUGGGUUUAGAACGUCGUGAGACAGUUCGGUCCCUAUCUGCCGUGGGCGUUGGAAGAUUGAAAGGGGCUGCUCCUAGUACGAGAGGACCGGAGUGGACGCACCGCUGGUGUUCGGGUUGUCAUGCCAAUGGCACUGCCCGGUAGCUAAGUGCGGAAGAGAUAACCGCUGAAAGCAUCUAAGCGGGAAACUUGCCUUGAGAUGAGUCUUCCCUGACUCUUUAAGGGUCCUAAAGGAACGUUUAAGACGAAGACGUUGAUAGGCUGGGUGUGUAAGCGUAGCGAUACGUUGAGCUAACCAGUACUAAUGAACCGUGAGGCUUAACCUG
Molecule: ribosomal RNA, 2909 nt
Filed under: Providencia stuartii
Lineage: Bacteria; Pseudomonadati; Pseudomonadota; Gammaproteobacteria; Enterobacterales; Morganellaceae
Description: 23S ribosomal RNA
Rfam family: Bacterial large subunit ribosomal RNA
Source: RNAcentral